CUACGGGCUGCUGCAGUGGGGAAUAUUGCACAAUGGAGGAAACUCUGAUGCAGCAACGCCGCGUGGAGGAUGACACUUUUCGGAGCGUAAACUCCUUUUAUAUAGGAAGAAGAUGACGGUACUAUAUGAAUAAGCGCCGGCUAACUCCGUGCCAGCAGCCGCGGUAAUACGGAGGGCGCAAGCGUUACUCGGAAUCACUGGGCGUAAAGAGCGUGUAGGCGGAUUAAAAAGUCAGAAGUGAAAUCCUAUAGCUUAACUAUAGAACUGCUUCUGAAACUCUUAAUCUAGAAUGUGGGAGAGGUAGAUGGAAUUUCUGGUGUAGGGGUAAAAUACGUAGAGAUCAGAAGGAAUACCGAUUGCGAAGGCGAUCUACUAGAACAUUAUUGACGCUGAGACGCGAAAGCGUGGGGAGCAAACAGGAUUAGAUACCCGCGUAGUC
This 439-nucleotide ribosomal RNA is filed under the name uncultured bacterium. Its description in RNAcentral is "partial 16S ribosomal RNA". It matches the Rfam family "Bacterial small subunit ribosomal RNA", at positions 339 to 795 of the family's 1533-position model. The record is from RNAcentral.